This 283-nucleotide ribosomal RNA is filed under the name uncultured bacterium. RNAcentral describes it as "partial 16S ribosomal RNA". It matches the Rfam family "Bacterial small subunit ribosomal RNA", at positions 793 to 1055 of the family's 1533-position model. The record is from RNAcentral.
GUCCUGGCCCUAAACGAUGGGUACCAGAUUGUGGGCUGACAUGGGCUCACAGUCGAGGCAAAAGUGUUAAGUACCCCGCCUGGGGAGUAUGGUCGCAAGGCUGAAACUCAAAGGAAUUGACGGGGGCUCACACAAGCGGUGGAGCAUGUGGCUUAAUUCGAGGCUACGCGAAGAACCUUAUCCUGGGCUUGACAUGUCCGAAAGGGGUAGGAAGUAGGGCGCGGAAACGUGUCCCCAACGGUAUCCAGUCCGGAACCUACCACAGGUGCUGCAUGGCUGUCGU